UACGUAGGUGGCAAGCGUUGUCCGGAAUUAUUGGGCGUAAAGAGCGUGUAGGCGGCCCGAUUAGUCCGCUGUGAAAGUCCAGGGCUCAACCCUGGAAUGCCGGUGGAAACUGUCGGGCUAGAGUCCGGAAGGGGCGAGUGGAAUUCCUGGUGUAGCGGUGAAAUGCGCAGAUAUCAGGAGGAACACCAAUGGCGAAGGCAGCUCGCUGGGACGUGACUGACGCUGAGACGCGAAAGCGUGGGGAGCAAACAGG
This 253-nucleotide ribosomal RNA is filed under the name uncultured bacterium. Its description in RNAcentral is "partial 16S ribosomal RNA". It matches the Rfam family "Bacterial small subunit ribosomal RNA", at positions 524 to 776 of the family's 1533-position model. The record is from RNAcentral.